Molecule: ribosomal RNA, 590 nt
Filed under: uncultured Marinobacter sp.
Lineage: Bacteria; Pseudomonadati; Pseudomonadota; Gammaproteobacteria; Pseudomonadales; Marinobacteraceae
Description: bacterial SSU rRNA
Rfam family: Bacterial small subunit ribosomal RNA
Source: RNAcentral
GUGCCAGCAGCCGCGGUAAUACGGAGGGUGCAAGCGUUAAUCGGAAUUACUGGGCGUAAAGCGCGCGUAGGCGGUUUGUUAAGCGAGGUGUGAAAUCCCCGGGCUCAACCUGGGAACUGCAUUUCGAACUGGCAGGCUAGAGUGUAGAAGAGGGGUGUGGAAUUUCCGGUGUAGCGGUGAAAUGCGUAGAGAUCGGAAGGAACACCAGUGGCGAAGGCGACACCCUGGUCUAACACUGACGCUGAGGUGCGAAAGCGUGGGUAGCAAACAGGAUUAGAUACCCUGGUAGUCCACGCCGUAAACGAUGUCUACUAGCCGUCGGGAGGCUUGACCUUUUGGUGGCGCAGCUAACGCAGUAAGUAGACCGCCUGGGGAGUACGGCCGCAAGGUUAAAACUCAAAUGAAUUGACGGGGGCCCGCACAAGCGGUGGAGCAUGUGGUUUAAUUCGACGCAACGCGAAGAACCUUACCUGGCCUUGACAUGCAGAGAACUUUCCAGAGAUGGAUUGGUGCCUUCGGGAACUCUGACACAGGUGCUGCAUGGCCGUCGUCAGCUCGUGUCGUGAGAUGUUGGGUUAAGUCCCGUAACG